Long non-coding RNA from Glycine soja, 147 nucleotides. RefSeq lists it as uncharacterized. NCBI's taxonomy places the organism in Eukaryota, Viridiplantae, Streptophyta, Magnoliopsida, Fabales, Fabaceae. The record is from RefSeq and is a predicted model, not a curated record. The transcript is spliced from 3 exons.
CAGCAAUAUUGAGGAGAUCAUUGCAAAAUUUGCUCAACUUAGCCCACAAGAAAGAGCCAAAAGGAAAAUGGAGAGCCUUGAAGCACUAAAGAAAACCUUUAGGAAGUUAGACCAUGACGUAAAAAUACAAGAUUUCUUAGGUUCAAG